This 833-nucleotide ribosomal RNA is filed under the name uncultured bacterium. Its description in RNAcentral is "bacterial SSU rRNA". It matches the Rfam family "Bacterial small subunit ribosomal RNA", at positions 29 to 857 of the family's 1533-position model. The record is from RNAcentral.
UUGAACGCUGGCGGAAUGCUUUACACAUGCAAGUCGAACGGCAGCACGGACUUCGGUCUGGUGGCGAGUGGCGAACGGGUGAGUAAUGCGCCGGAACGUAUCCAGUAGAGGGGGAUAACGCAGCGAAAGCUGUGCUAAUACUGCAUACGCCCUGAGGGGGAAAGCAUGGGAUCUUCGGACCCUGCGUUAUUGGAGCGUCCGACGUCUGAUUAGCUAGUAGGUGAGGUAAAGGCUCACAUAGGCGAUGAUCAGUAGCUGGUCUGAGAGGAUGAUCAGCCACACUGGAACUGAGAGACGGUCCAGACUCCUACGGGAGGCAGCAGUGGGGAAUUUUGGACAAUGGGCGCAAGCCUGAUCCAGCCAUUCCGCGUGAGUGAAGAAGGCCUUCGGGUUGUAAAGCUCUUUCGGCAGGGAAGAAAAGGUAUUGGUUAAUAGCUGAUACUUCUGACGGUACCUGAAGAAGAAGCACCGGCUAACUACGUGCCAGCAGCCGCGGUAAUACGUAGGGUGCGAGCGUUAAUCGGAAUUACUGGGCGUAAAGCGUGCGCAGGCGGUUUUUUAAGCCAGAUGUGAAAUCCCCGGGCUUAACCUGGGAACUGCAUUUGGAACUGGAAGACUAGAGUGUAGCAGAGGGGGGUAGAAUUCCACGUGUAGCAGUGAAAUGCGUAGAGAUGUGGAGGAAUACCGAUGGCGAAGGCAGCCCCCUGGGCUAACACUGACGCUCAUGCACGAAAGCGUGGGGAGCAAACAGGAUUAGAUACCCUGGUAGUCCACGCCCUAAACGAUGUCAACUAGGUGUGGGGAAGGAGACUUCUUUAGUACCGCAGCUAACG